GGCGUGCUUAACACAUGCAAGUCGAACGGAAAGGCCCUGCUUUUGUGGGGUGCUCGAGUGGCGAACGGGUGAGUAACACGUGAGUAACCUGCCCUUGACUUUGGGAUAACUUCAGGAAACUGGGGCUAAUACCGGAUAGGAGCUCCUGCUGCAUGGUGGGGGUUGGAAAGUUUCGGCGGUUGGGGAUGGACUCGCGGCUUAUCAGCUUGUUGGUGGGGUAGUGGCUUACCAAGGCUUUGACGGGUAGCCGGCCUGAGAGGGUGACCGGCCACAUUGGGACUGAGAUACGGCCCAGACUCCUACGGGAGGCAGCAGUGGGGAAUAUUGCACAAUGGGCGGAAGCCUGAUGCAGCAACGCCGCGUGCGGGAUGACGGCCUUCGGGUUGUAAACCGCUUUCGCCUGUGACGAAGCGUGAGUGACGGUAAUGGGUAAAGAAGCACCGGCUAACUACGUGCCAGCAGCCGCGGUGAUACGUAGGGUGCGAGCGUUGUCCGGAUUUAUUGGGCGUAAAGGGCUCGUAGGUGGUUGAUCGCGUCGGAAGUGUAAUCUUGGGGCUUAACCCUGAGCGUGCUUUCGAUACGGGUUGACUUGAGGAAGGUAGGGGAGAAUGGAAUUCCUGGUGGAGCGGUGGAAUGCGCAGAUAUCAGGAGGAACACCAGUGGCGAAGGCGGUUCUCUGGGCCUUUCCUGACGCUGAGGAGCGAAAGCGUGGGGAGCGAACAGGCUUAGAUACCCUGGUAGUCCACGCUGUAAACGGUGGGUACUAGGUGUGGGGUCCAUUCCACGGGUUCCGUGCCGUAGCUAACGCUUUAAGUACCCCGCCUGGGGAGUACGGCCGCAAGGCUAAAACUCAAAGGAAUUGACGGGGCCCCGCACAAGCGGCGGAGCAUGCGGAUUAAUUCGAUGCAACGCGUAGAACCUUACCUGGGUUUGACAUGGAUCGGGAGUGCUCAGAGAUGGGUGUGCCUCUUUUGGGGUCGGUUCACAGGUGGUGCAUGGCUGUCGUCAGCUCGUGUCGUGAGAUGUUGGGUUAAGUCCCGCAACGAGCGCAACCCUUGUUCACUGUUGCCAGCGCGUUAUGGUGGGGACUCAGUGGAGACCGCCGGGGUCAACUCGGAGGAAGGUGGGGAUGACGUCAAGUCAUCAUGCCCCUUAUGUCCAGGGCUUCACGCAUGCUACAAUGGCUGGUACAGAGAGUGGCGAGCCUGUGAGGGUGAGCGAAUCUCGGAAAGCCGGUCUCAGUUCGGAUUGGGGUCUGCAACUCGACCUCAUGAAGUCGGAGUCGCUAGUAAUCGCAGAUCAGCAACGCUGCGGUGAAUACGUUCCCGGGGCUUGUACACACCGCCCGUCAAGUCAUGAAAGUUGGUAACACCCGAAGCCGGUGGCCUAACCGUUGUGGGGGAGCCGUCGAAGGUGGGACUGGUGAUUAGGACUAAG
Molecule: ribosomal RNA, 1437 nt
Filed under: uncultured organism
Description: 16S ribosomal RNA
Rfam family: Bacterial small subunit ribosomal RNA
Source: RNAcentral